RNAcentral lists this long non-coding RNA (696 nucleotides) under Anser brachyrhynchus (Pink-footed goose). RNAcentral's name for it is "lncRNA (ENSABRG00000016732.1)". Lineage: Eukaryota; Metazoa; Chordata; Aves; Anseriformes; Anatidae. The record is from RNAcentral.
GGAGGUAGAAACACAUGAAAGGAGCUGCACCAUCAUCUGUCUGCCAGGGGAGUGGACCUGUCCACAGGAGCAAGAAAAUGGAAAUAAUUCCAUCCAGCCUGGGAUCUAUAAGAGCAACUAAAGGGGAUGAAAAUGAUCUAACACACCGGUCUGGCACCCAUCAAAGGAAAAUAGGUGUAGCUGUUGCUGCAAGAGGAGGAGAAAUUAAUUCCUACCCAAUGGUCCCAACCCAGAGCAGGCCUUUGAAUCCGCUGGGAGUCCCACAUGAAGUACAUGAAAGGCUGCCAGGGACCAGCCCCCCAAGGAUAAAUCCAGAAGUUUAGAAGAGGAAAAAUUGAAGUUUUAUUGAAACCAGUACGUUUAUACCGGCACACACAGCUGAAGAGAAGGCCCAGAAUGAUAAGUAGUAGAUAGGAUCAGAUCGCAAUGUAAACUUGCAACAAAUUUCAGAUAAAUACAUGGUUUAUAUACAAAGAAAUGCUCCUAUAAAACGGUAGGGAGCUUCAUUAUCACAGCUUCAGAAUUGAAAGUGUAAUUGUUUAUCUGUUUUUUUUUUUUUUCUUAUGAAAUGUAAUUUCCUGAUGGACGUAGGGGAACUCUUCACUCUGAUUUUUAUAAUUGUUUAUUUUCUAAUUAGUUUUUUUUCAAUUUAAUUAGCUUUCCCAAAUCACUUUCGGCACUCUGAGUGUGUUUUUG